RNAcentral lists this ribosomal RNA (274 nucleotides) under uncultured bacterium. RNAcentral's name for it is "partial 16S ribosomal RNA". It matches the Rfam family "Bacterial small subunit ribosomal RNA", at positions 523 to 796 of the family's 1533-position model. The record is from RNAcentral.
AUACGGAGGGGGUUAGCGUUGUUCGGAAUUACUGGGCGUAAAGCGCACGUAGGCGGACUGAUCAGUUAGAGGUGAAAUCCCAGGGCUCAACCCUGGAACUGCCUUUAAUACUGUCAGUCUAGAGAUCGAGAGAGGUGAGUGGAAUUCCGAGUGUAGAGGUGAAAUUCGUAGAUAUUUGGAGGAACACCAGUGGCGAAGGCGGCUCACUGGCUCGAUACUGACGCUGAGGUGCGAAAGCGUGGGGAGCAAACAGGAUUAGAAACCCUAGUAGUCC